GACAGAGGUGCCGAGCGUUAGGCGGAAUCACUGGGCUUAAAGCGUGUGUAGGCGGAUCGUUAAGUACCUUGUGAAAUCCCACGGCUCAACCGUGGAACUGCUGGGUAUACUGGCGGUCUUGAGCCACCUAGGGGCGAGCGGAACAAGCGGUGGAGCGGUGAAAUGCGUAGAUAUCGCUUGGAACGCCAACGGUGAAAACAGCUCGCUGGGGGUGUGCUGACGCUGAGACACGAAAGCCAGGGGAGCAAACGGG
This 253-nucleotide ribosomal RNA is filed under the name uncultured bacterium. RNAcentral's name for it is "partial 16S ribosomal RNA". It matches the Rfam family "Bacterial small subunit ribosomal RNA", at positions 524 to 776 of the family's 1533-position model. The record is from RNAcentral.